This 493-nucleotide ribosomal RNA is filed under the name Klebsiella pneumoniae. RNAcentral describes it as "bacterial SSU rRNA". It matches the Rfam family "Bacterial small subunit ribosomal RNA", at positions 601 to 1093 of the family's 1533-position model. The record is from RNAcentral. Lineage: Bacteria; Pseudomonadati; Pseudomonadota; Gammaproteobacteria; Enterobacterales; Enterobacteriaceae.
CCCCGGGCUCAACCUGGGAACUGCAUUCGAAACUGGCAGGCUAGAGUCUUGUAGAGGGGGGUAGAAUUCCAGGUGUAGCGGUGAAAUGCGUAGAGAUCUGGAGGAAUACCGGUGGCGAAGGCGGCCCCCUGGACAAAGACUGACGCUCAGGUGCGAAAGCGUGGGGAGCAAACAGGAUUAGAUACCCUGGUAGUCCACGCCGUAAACGAUGUCGAUUUGGAGGUUGUGCCCUUGAGGCGUGGCUUCCGGAGCUAACGCGUUAAAUCGACCGCCUGGGGAGUACGGCCGCAAGGUUAAAACUCAAAUGAAUUGACGGGGGCCCGCACAAGCGGUGGAGCAUGUGGUUUAAUUCGAUGCAACGCGAAGAACCUUACCUGGUCUUGACAUCCACAGAACUUUCCAGAGAUGGAUUGGUGCCUUCGGGAACUGUGAGACAGGUGCUGCAUGGCUGUCGUCAGCUCGUGUUGUGAAAUGUUGGGUUAAGUCCCGCAAC